Molecule: ribosomal RNA, 253 nt
Filed under: uncultured bacterium
Lineage: Bacteria
Description: partial 16S ribosomal RNA
Rfam family: Bacterial small subunit ribosomal RNA
Source: RNAcentral
UACAGAGGGGGCAAGCGUUGUUCGGAAUUACUGGGCGUAAAGGGCGCGUAGGCGGCCCGCUAAGUCGAACGUGAAAUCCCCGGGCUCAACCCGGGAACUGCGUCCGAUACUGGUGGGCUCGAAUCCGGGAGAGGGAUGCGGAAUUCCAGGUGUAGCGGUGAAAUGCGUAGAUAUCAGGAGGAAUACCUAUGGCGAAAGCAGGUAUCUGGGCCAUCACUGACGCUGAGGAGCGAAAGUGUGGGGAGCGAACAGG